AAUAUUGGUCAAUGGACGCAAGUCUGAACCAGCCACGUCGCGUGAAGGAAGACGGCCCUACGGGUUGUAAACUUCUUUUGUAAGGGAAUAAAGUGUAGAACGCGUACUAUUUUGCAUGUACCUUACGAAUAAGGAUCGGCUAACUCCGGUCCAUCAGCCGCGGUAAUACGGAGGAUCCGAGCGUUGUCCGGAUUUAUUGGGUUUAAAGGGGGCGCAGGCGGGAGAUUAAGUCGUCGGUGAAAUUUUGCAGCUCAACUGUAAAAGUGCCUUCGAACCUGGUUUUCUUGAGUGUAGAUGAAGUAGGCGGAAUUUGUGGUGUAGCGGUGAAAUGCAUAGAUAUCACGAGGAACUCCGAUUGCGCAGGCAGCUUACUAAGCUACAACUGACGCUCAUGCACGAAGGCGUGGGGAUCAAACAGG
RNAcentral lists this ribosomal RNA (419 nucleotides) under uncultured bacterium. RNAcentral describes it as "partial 16S ribosomal RNA". It matches the Rfam family "Bacterial small subunit ribosomal RNA", at positions 360 to 776 of the family's 1533-position model. The record is from RNAcentral.